GUGCUUGCUUCAGCAGCACAUGUACUAAAACUGGAAUGUUGCAAAGAAGAUUAGCAUGGCCCCUGCACAAGGA
This is a small nuclear RNA of Bos indicus x Bos taurus (hybrid cattle), 73 nucleotides long. NCBI's taxonomy places the organism in Eukaryota, Metazoa, Chordata, Mammalia, Artiodactyla, Bovidae. The record is from Ensembl.